CGAAAGGCGUAGUCGAUGGGAAGCAGGUUAAUAUUCCUGCACCGACGUGUAAUGCGAUGGGGGGACGGAUCGUGGAAAGUGGUCCAGGUGUUGGAUAUCCUGGUCCCUGCAUCAUAGAGGACAGUUAGGCAAAUCCGGCUGUCAUAUACUCAAGGGUGUGGGGCGAAGUAGCUACGGCUACGAAGCCAUUGGAAGUGGUCCCAAGAAAAGCCUCUAAGCUUCAGUUACACGUUGACCGUACCGCAAACCGACACAGGUGGGCGGGAUGAGUAUUCUAAGGCGCUUGAGAGAACUCAGGAGAAGGAACUCGGCAAAUUGGUACCGUAACUUCGGGAGA
This 337-nucleotide ribosomal RNA is filed under the name Alexandrium margalefii. Its description in RNAcentral is "partial Bacterial large subunit ribosomal RNA". It matches the Rfam family "Bacterial large subunit ribosomal RNA", at positions 1403 to 1743 of the family's 2925-position model. Lineage: Eukaryota; Dinophyceae; Gonyaulacales; Pyrocystaceae. The record is from RNAcentral.